AUGGACGCCCUCGCGCGCUACCCGGGGUCCUACUGGCGGGACCUCUUCGACUCCCGCGUCGGCCGCACCGUCUGGCCCUACGGCUCCGGCGUCUGGUCCAAGAAGGAGUUCGUGCUCCCGGGGAUCGACCCGGACCACAUCGUCUCCCUCUUCGAGGGCAACUCCAACCUCUUCUGGGCCGAGCGCCUCGGCCGCGACCACCUCGCCGGCAUGAAGGACCUCUGGGUCAAGCACUGCGGCAUCUCCCACACGGGUUCCUUCAAGGACCUCGGCAUGACCGUGCUCGUCAGCCAGGUCAACCGCCUCCGCCGCGCCCCGCUCUCCCGCCCCAUCGCCGGCGUCGGCUGCGCCUCCACGGGGGACACCUCCGCCGCGCUCUCCGCCUACUGCGCGGCUGCCGGGAUCCCAGCCAUCGUCUUCCUCCCGGCCAACCGCAUCUCGCUCGAGCAGCUCAUCCAGCCCAUCGCCAACGGCGCCACCGUGCUCUCCCUCGACACGGACUUUGAUGGCUGUAUGCGGCUCAUCAGGGAGUUCGAUUGGGAGGUCCCAGAUUGGGUCAUUGUACCGGGAGGCAAUCUUGGAAACAUAUAUGCUUUCUACAAGGGAUUCGAGAUGUGCCGUGUUCUUGGUCUCGUUGAUCGUCUGCCACGGCUUGUCUGCGCACAGGCCGCCAAUGCCAACCCGCUGUACCGCUACUACAAGUCAGGGUGGACACAAUUCCAGCCACAGGUGGCUGAGCCAACAUUUGCGUCGGCGAUUCAGAUCGGUGACCCUGUAUCGGUCGACCGUGCGGUGGUCGCACUCAAGGCAACAAAUGGCAUCGUCGCAGAGGCCACGGAGGAGGAGCUCAUGAAUGCAAUGUCCCUCGCAGACCGCACCGGCAUGUUUGCCUGCCCGCACACUGGGGUCGCGCUCGCGGCUCUCUUCAAGCUCCGGGAAGAGGGCACCAUCGGGGCAAAUGACCGCACAGUGGUCGUCAGCACGGCGCACGGCCUCAAGUUCUCCCAGUCCAAGAUAGACUACCAUGAUCAGAAGAUCGAAGACAUGGCCUGCAAGUACGCCAACCCGCCGGUCAGCGUCAAGGCUGACUUCGGCGCCGUCAUGGACGUCCUCAAGAAGAGACUCAAGGGUAAGCUUUGA
This 1140-nucleotide ribosomal RNA is filed under the name Triticum aestivum (bread wheat). Its description in RNAcentral is "partial small subunit ribosomal RNA". Lineage: Eukaryota; Viridiplantae; Streptophyta; Magnoliopsida; Poales; Poaceae. The record is from RNAcentral.